GAUCAUUACUGUGAUUUAUCCACCACACUGCGUGGGCGACACGAAACACCGAAACCGAACGCACGCCGUCAAGCAAGAAAUCCACAAAACUUUCAACAACGGAUCUCUUGGUUCUCGCAUCGAUGAAGAGCGCAGCGAAAUGCGAUACCUAGUGUGAAUUGCAGCCAUCGUGAAUCAUCGAGUUCUUGAACGCACAUUGCGCCCGCUGGUAUUCCGGCGGGCAUGCCUGUCUGAGCGUCGUUUCCUUCUUGGAGCGGAGCUUCAGACCUGGCGGGCUGUCCCUGUGGACGGCGCGCCCAAAGCGAGGGGCCUUCUGCGCGAACUAGACUGUGCGCGCGGGGCGGCCGGCGAACUUA
This 356-nucleotide unclassified non-coding RNA is filed under the name Pichia fermentans. RNAcentral's name for it is "sequence contains 18S rRNA gene, ITS1, 5.8S rRNA gene, ITS2, 28S rRNA gene". The stretch from base 88 to 240 matches the Rfam family "5.8S ribosomal RNA". Lineage: Eukaryota; Fungi; Ascomycota; Pichiomycetes; Pichiales; Pichiaceae. The record is from RNAcentral.